RNAcentral lists this ribosomal RNA (381 nucleotides) under uncultured marine Chaetocerotaceae. RNAcentral's name for it is "SSU rRNA". It matches the Rfam family "Eukaryotic small subunit ribosomal RNA", at positions 587 to 972 of the family's 1831-position model. Lineage: Eukaryota; Bacillariophyta; Thalassiosirophyceae; Chaetocerotales; Chaetocerotaceae. The record is from RNAcentral.
AGCUCCAAUAGCGUAUAUUAAAGUUGCUGCAGUUAAAAAGCUCGUAGUUGCAUUUCCGAGGCAAGGGAUUAGUCCGACCUUUGGUGGGUAUUUAAUCCUCUUGCCUCGUCCUUGAGUGGUGCUUCUUGGUAUUAAGUUAUCGAGGAGAUAGCCGCUCAUCGUUUACUGUGAGAAAAUUAGAGUGUUCAAAGCAGGCUUAUGCCGUUGAAUAUAUUAGCAUGGAAUAAUAAGAUAGGACCUCGGUACUAUUUUGUUGGUUUGAGAACCAAGGUAAUGAUGAAUAGGGACAGUUGGGGGUAUUCGUAUUCAGUUGUCAGAGGUGAAAUUCUUAGAUUUACGGAAGACGAACUACUGCGAAAGCAUUUGUCAAAGAUGUUUUCA